CCAAAAUUUGCUCAUUUAUUUUCUUUACAUUAAGAUCUCUGGUUCUUACCAGUGGGUCAUUUCAAACUCUAUCUCUGCUUCCCCCAGCUAGGGAUAGAAAGCCACUAUUACAGACAGGGGCUGCAUCCUUCAGGUGCUUUCUGCAGAAAUGAGCUCAAUAACCACUGAAGACAGAUGUUAAUGAUGUCUGUUUUAAGGCAAAUUAUUUGGAGACGAGGGUAACCAAGUGGAGCUGAAUGACACUGGAUGGUAAUAACUUAAUUUGCCUCAGUGACAGUUCAUCAGGUCCUUUCACUUCCAUUUUCUCAUCUGACCAUCAUGACCUUAUGGUGUAAGUAAAAAUGAUUACUUCCCUUUUUUCUUUUCUUCAGAGGGGAAAUCUGGGUUUGGAGCAGCUAUACCAUAUAUCUAAGGUCAAACACCUAAGAGGAACUUUUAACUUGGGUCAUUUAAGUGCAAGUGCCUUGUUUUCGCCAUUUUGCCAAGGACAUGGGGCUCAAGUUUGGGUGUGCACCUGGCUUGCAGCAGAACUGGCUGGGAUGGCUUCAUAACUUCCCUUCUAACAAUAUAACAAUAUGCUUCUGUAAAUUUUCACACUGAAUUGGACAAGAAUCAGAAUAUCCUGUUUUGAACAUCUGCACAGAUUGACAAACAAAAAUGGAACAUCAAGACUGACUGGAAAUGGUGAUGUGAAAUUCAUUAAAUGCUCUUGCAAUUGCCAGAGGUGCCAAGACUGAGGCUCAGAGAAAUGAAAUAACAUGCCAAAGGUCACAGUGUCUAGUGGAGCUGGGGCCAAAUUCAGGUUCGCGUGAUUAAUAACACACAGGAAAAACCCUCAACUUCUUUCAUUCGCCUGUUGAGAUAAAGGGAAAGAGAGUCCCCAUCCAGGCCUGCAGGAGAGGGAGAACUGGUGGAUGCAAAUGAAAAAGCAGAGGCAUUCCUCAGGGUCUUGCUCUGCCACCCAGCCUGGAGUGCAGUGGUGCAAUCGUGGCUUACUGCAGUCCCAACCUCCUGGGCUCAAGCAAUCCUCCCAUCUCAACCUUCCCAGUAGCUGGGACUACAGGUGUGUUACCCAAUCAUGUUAAUUUUUUCUUUUGUAGAGAUGAAGUUUCACAAUAUAGACCAGGCUGAUUUUGAACUCCUGGCCUCAAGUGUGCAUCUCAUCUUGGCCUCCCAAAGCGCUGGGAUUACAGGCUGACCCACUGCAACUGGUCAAUUGAGCAUUUUCUAAGCAGUUCACACUGGGAUGGGAAGUAAGGCAAUUCAGUAAAAUAUAGGAUCCAGAUCUUGCUUUUAUGAAGUCAAAAUAUAGGUAAUAGAAAAAACAGUAAAAUGACCGUAACUGAGCAUUUCCUGUGGAUAUGCAUUUAGCAAGGAACUACAUAUGUAGGUUUGACAUUCACAAUAAACCUACCAGAAAAGCAUAACCAUGCCCACAUCACUGGUAAGAAGACUGAAGGCCAGUGGGACCAUCACAAAACAAAAAGCUACAAGAACCUUCUCUCCAGCUAUCUCACUGCUCUCCAAACCCUCUCUGUGAUGCCCUACACUUGUUUGUUCUUGAUUUCUUCAAUGCACAAUGCUUUCAGUUUUUGCUUGAACUUGUGUUCAAAAUGUUCCCUCUGCCUCUAGCUGCAGCUCAAAUAUCCCCUCCUCAGAAAAGGAAGCCUUUCUUGAUCAUUCAUGCCAGGUUGGCCUCUUCUCUUAUGUGCUUAGCACUUAAGAAAAUCUGUAAUUCCCUAUUUAUUUCCAGGAAUAUUUGAUUAAUAUCUUUUUCUCCCACUGGAUUGUAAAUUCCCCGAAGGCACAGCCUGCAUGUGUUACACUCUUCACAUAUCUCCAGCACUUGGUGAAGUGCAAGGCACAUAGUAGGUACCCAGUCAACAUUGGUGGAAAGAAUGACAUAGCAGCUAUUUGCUGACACAGCCGAGAUUGGAAUAGAAACAUGCCUUUCUACCAUGCCAAUUUAUCUUUAUUGUGUAUUCAUCACCUAUUAUCAAAAUGCAUUUGCCAUCUUGUGUUAUCCUACAAAAUAAGGCAAACUAAGCUCUGGUCUUGAUGCCUAAUUAUUAAGUGUUGGUUCAUUCACUCACUCAUUCAUUCAUUUGUUCAUCAUGUAUUCAACAAACAUCUGUUGACCACCUACUCUGUGCUAGGCACUGUUCUAAGUGCCUAGGAUACAACAGUGUACAAAACAGAUACAAGUCCUUAGAAUGAAUGACAUUCUGGUCUAAAACAUGCUAGUUGACAAUCUUGAUCCGAUUUCUAAGUGUCUGAUGUAUAUGGCUGCAUAUUUAAGGUUGCAUGGCAUAUUGAUGUGCAGACUGAUAGACAACUAUUAAUUAAUAUAGAUAUAUUAACUAUGAGGCCUGUCUAUGAAAUGAUGAGGUAAGUGUAGAGAUAAGCCCUCCAUAUGGAUGUAUUCAAAUGACUGGUGCUUUUCAGGAGCCAGGCAUUUAUUUCAUCCAUGUUCACCAUGGCUCACCAUGUAACUAGAACAUCUUUUUGACAGUUGAUUUCAUGACUGGUUUAUGUGCCACAGAAGAAAACUGAGGUUAUCACUAUGCAGUUGCUCUGCAUUUUUGUCCCCAACUUGAUGAUAUAACUGAUCCUAAGACUAUCCAAAAGAAUGUCACUAAAGCCCUGAUGGUCACUCAAAAAGAAGAGUUACCCAAAUGUUUAAGGGAAGGUCACGUCACUAGAAUAGAGACACCACCUUCCGAAGGGACUAAUUUCACAGGAGCAGCAUACAUUGGAUAAACAUACUUUGGUAUGUCCAUUUAAAAAGCAUAUAUAUAUGCCAGCAAAUAAGAUGUAAAAACAAUUCGACAUUAUUAGUAAAAUGAAUGCCAAUUAAAAUUGUAUUCUCAAUUAGAAGAGAUUAAAAAAAUUUUUUUGGUAGAGGCUGUCACAGGAACGGCAGUGUUACACACUCCUGAGGGAAGAGAUUUGUAAAUUAUUAUAAAUUUUCAGAAGGGCAGUUUGUUCACAUGGUUAUAGAAUAUGGAUUCUCUAAAAUGUUCACAUACUUUUUUUUACAUAUGUAAUUAUGCCUUGGGAAAACAAUCACAUAAUUUUGACAAAUAAUUUUUGAAAAAAAUAAUUUUUUAAAUAAUGUAAUGUUUAUUUUUAUCAUAAUACAGAAACAGAACAAGUCAAAUGCAGUGCUAAUAAUAGAAAACAGCAUUAUGCAUUGUAGAAGCAGAAAAAAUGAAUGUGGGAAAGCCUAAAUGCAGUGGAAAGCAGUGAGAUGAAGCUGGAGAGAAGGUUCUUUCAGCUCCCUGCUUUGCGAUGCUCCCAUUGGCCCUCAGCCUUCUUACCCGACAGGUGGGGUGUGGUCACACCUACCUGGUAUUUAUUGUGAAUGUCAAACAUACAUAUGUAGUUCCUUGCUGAAUGCACGGCUCAUAGGAAAUGGGCAAAUCGUUCAUUUGUUAUUAGACAUCUUUAAACCUUUUAACCUUUAAGAAAUACAAGUACAUAAAAUUGAUUCCAUAAAUGAAUGCUCAAAAAUGCACUUCUUAUA
This 3526-nucleotide long non-coding RNA is filed under the name Homo sapiens (human). RNAcentral describes it as "HSALNT0349323". The record is from RNAcentral. Lineage: Eukaryota; Metazoa; Chordata; Mammalia; Primates; Hominidae.